Molecule: ribosomal RNA, 227 nt
Filed under: uncultured bacterium
Lineage: Bacteria
Description: partial 16S ribosomal RNA
Rfam family: Bacterial small subunit ribosomal RNA
Source: RNAcentral
UAAAAAAUCGUCCCAGUUCGGAUUGCAGGCUGCAACCCGCCUGCAUGAAGUCGGAAUUGCUAGUAAUCGCGGAUCAGCAUGCCGCGGUGAAUACGUUCCCGGGCCUUGUACACACCGCCCGUCACACCAUGGGAGCCGGUAACACCCGAAGUCAGUAGCCUGACCGAUUCCGGAGGGCGCCGCCGAAGGUGGGAUUGGUGACUGGGGUGAAGUCGUAACAAGGUACC